Molecule: small RNA, 495 nt
Filed under: Mycoplasma sp. CAG:472
Lineage: Bacteria; Bacillati; Mycoplasmatota; Mollicutes; Mycoplasmatales; Mycoplasmataceae
Source: RNAcentral
UUGAUAUAAUAUUUAUGUGGUGCAUUAUGCUAGUCACAAUCACUAUUUGAAGAUGGGGCUAAAAAUCCAUUAAUUGAUACAAUUGCACUUUAUAUAUUUGCUGCUUCUGCCCAAGUUGGGGUGAAUAUGUAAUUUAAAAUUAUAGGGAAAUCAUAACGGCAUAUGACUAACCCCCUGUAAUUAAGCAAAAAAGGAAGAGUUAUUCAUGUCGUGCGUGGUUAUUAGGGAUUUAACGAAUAAUAAUGUUGAUGAAAUCUUAACUGCAAAAGCGAAUAAGAAUAGUUUAGAUGUGUCAGGGAAAACCUCUAGCGUGUUAUUUAUUAUAAAGAUUGAAGUGCGGACUAUGUGGCAAUCGAGUCAUUAGUUAGGCAACUACUAAUUAUUUUCUUUAAAGAGAAAUCGCCUAAGGGUAACCAAGGGAGAGAAAAUAGAGAAAUUCAACUCGACCAAAGCCGUAAGAUUAAUUUAUAAUAAACCAUAACAUUUUUAAUAACU